This 437-nucleotide ribosomal RNA is filed under the name uncultured bacterium. RNAcentral's name for it is "bacterial SSU rRNA". It matches the Rfam family "Bacterial small subunit ribosomal RNA", at positions 43 to 524 of the family's 1533-position model. The record is from RNAcentral.
CAGGCCUAACACAUGCAAGUCGAACGAGAGCCUUCGCGUUCUAGUGGCUCACGGGUGCGUAACGCGUGGGAAUCUGCCCCUUGGUUCGGAAUAACAGCUAGAAAUGGCUGCUAAUACCGGAUGACGACGAGAGUCCAAAGAUUUAUCGCCGAGGGAUGAGCCCGCGUUGGAUUAGGUAGUUGGUGUGGUAAAGGCGCACCAAGCCGACGAUCCAUAGCUGGUCUGAGAGGAUGAUCAGCCACACUGGGACUGAGACACGGCCCAGACUCCUACGGGAGGCAGCAGUGGGGAAUCUUAGACAAUGGGGGCAACCCUGAUCUAGCCAUGCCGCGUGAGUGAUGAAGGCCUUAGGGUUGUAAAGCUCUUUCAGCUGGGAAGAUAAUGACGGUACCAGCAGAAGAAGCCCCGGCUAACUCCGUGCCAGCAGCCGCGGUAAU